RNAcentral lists this long non-coding RNA (2464 nucleotides) under Capra hircus (goat). RNAcentral's name for it is "lncRNA (ENSCHIG00010018209.1)". The record is from RNAcentral. Lineage: Eukaryota; Metazoa; Chordata; Mammalia; Artiodactyla; Bovidae.
CAAGCUCUGGGAGAUGGUGAAGGACAGGGAAGGUUGGUGGGCCUUCAUGGGGUCACAAAAAUUUGGAUGCAACAACAACAAAUAUUUAAUAUCAAUAUUUCUAUAAAGUUUCAAGCAUGCAAAAUCAGGACUUCCCUGGUGGUCCAGUGGUUGGAAAUCUGCCUGCCAAUACAGGGGACACGGGUCCUAUUUCUUCUCUGGGAAGAUUCCACGUGCUGUGGGGCAACUAAGCCUGAGUGCCAUAGUGCUCCUGCAACAAGAAAAGACUUGCAAUGAGACGUCCAUGCACCACAACAAACAGUAGCCCCUGCUCACCACAACUAAAGAAAGCCUGAGCACAGCAACAAGGACCCAGAACAGCCAAAAUAAACUAAAUAAANNNNNNNNNNNNNNNNNNNNNNNNNNNNNNNNNNNNNNNNNNNNNNNNNNNNNNNNNNNNNNNNNNNNNNNNNNNNNNNNNNNNNNNNNNNNNNNNNNNUAAAUAAAUUUUAAAAUAAAUUGAAAAUAAAAAUAAAACAUGCAAAAUCAAAUAUUUUAUCUAUGUAGUACCUACAUUGAUAGUCCAGUAGGUGGUACUUCCCCAGAAAGGCUGCAAGAGUAUUUCUGGUCCCACCUGUUUUCCAGAACCUGCCUACACCCCCAUCAUCAGGUGCAGGCAGUGACCCUGCCCCUUGAAGCAGGUGGGACUUUGUGGCUGCUUUGACUAAUGGACGAUAUAUGACUUUUGAGGCUAGGUGGCCACAGUUCACACAGCUUCUGUGUAGUUUUCUCCUUGGCAACUCAGGUACCAUGCUGUGAGAAAGCCUAGGAAACACGGAGAAGAACCAAGGCCGAGGCCUCUGUCCAACAGCCAGCCAGUUAACGCGUCAUGAAAGAACAUAGAUGCAAAAGGCCCAGGUGUGAAUUACAGCCUGUCUUCUCAAAACACGGGCUGCAAAGGCCAUCUUCCAGGGCAGGCAAUGCUAUUAUCAGGAUGGUUGAAUGUGAAAGGGUCCUACAAAUGUGGUCAUGCGGUGUUUUAAACUGUCUACGACUUCUGCACAAACCCAUCCUGGAGGUCCCUGAGUGCCAAAGCUACCUGCACUCACGUCCGCUACCUGCAAAGCCCCUAGUGGAUCCUUCCUCUGCGGCUGCUGCGACAGAGAUGCUGCCUUACCUGGGGCUUCCACCAACAACAGGUGUCCAUGAGUCGUGCUGUGAAGGAACACAGGGAGGUUUGGCCCUCUGUGUUUCUGCCCUGGAGGUCCAUCUGGGGUCCCCACUGGCCCAUGCACCAGCUGUUACCCCCACACCCGCUGGGGUUGCUGCCUUACCGCUGCUCCCAGGCUGGUGGGACUGAGCCCUCCCCUUCAGCUGGCGUCCUCCCAACCCCACCAAACCAGGAACACCUGUGUCUUCAGCACAUUUAGGUGUAGGGGUUUCACCUGCAGUAAUGCCAGAAUUGUGCAAACUCUGUUCUUAGCCAGACCUUAACUCCCCACAUUUUCUUUGCAUCCUUCCGAGACGUUUCGGUGCCCCCACACACAUUUCUUCCUACCUACCUGCCUUCUUUCCUCCUUUCAGUUGAGUAUUUAUUGGGCCUAACUAUACGCCAGGCUCUGCCUUGGUUCUACAUGGAGAGAAGGAUGCAUGCUUGCCUCACGGAGCUUAUAGUUUUUUGAGUGAUGGAAACAAGCAGAGCAGCAAUUGCAUCCUAAAUGAGAUUCCUGUGCCUUCCCAGGCAGGCUUUUCCCAUCCCACGUGACUCAUCCACUCUUAGUGCCCCUCACAUGGCCUAGAGCCUCCUCUUUAUGGCUUUAUAGUUUUGAGUGCUUUCCCAGAACACCAGGGAGAUUCAUUUUGUAGGCCCAAAGGAGAAGCUCAGAGCAGAAGAAUCAUGAGAAAUAAAUAGAUCAAGGAGAGGAGAGAAAUAUCUCUCAGCAUGAAAUUAACUAGCUGCUUCUUUUCUUACUGCGAUUUACUCUUGGAGCAGAGGCAUCUGUAAGUAGUGAACUGAAGCCAUUCUCUGGAGCAUCCGUGGGGUCCUCCUGUUUGGGGAAGCUUGGGAUUCAUGAGAAUUGAUGACUCAGCAAAUGGAGUUCUGCGCCGGCUCAGAGAAAAGAGCAUCACACAGAUAGGGGCUCAGUAUAUAGUGAUGUACAAGUGCACUUGACUUUGUAAAGCCCAGAUUAGUUUGUGAGGUUGGUCCAGAAGGCACUGGGGAGGUGGGCAGCCCUGGCCUGGAGUGACCAACAAGCCUGCCCAGCUUCUCUUCAUCUACAAGACUGGAGAAGUCAUUCCUCACCACGUGAAAGACAUCAUUGCCUGACUCAUCUGCCUCACAGGCUUCUUUUGAAUGGAAAAUGAAAUAAAACAUGGGAAGGGCCAUACACCAUUUGUGCAGAGAUGCCCUGUGCACCAACAGAUAUAUAGGAAACAUGUUUGGCCAGAAACAUGAAUAAGGAAUCACUUCAGAAUGUAAUUU